Molecule: ribosomal RNA, 458 nt
Filed under: uncultured bacterium
Lineage: Bacteria
Description: bacterial SSU rRNA
Rfam family: Bacterial small subunit ribosomal RNA
Source: RNAcentral
AUUGAACGCUGGCGGCAUGCUUUACACAUGCAAGUCGAACGGCAGCACGGGCUUCGGCCUGGUGGCGAGUGGCGAACGGGUGAGUAAUGCAUCGGAACGUGCCCAUGUUGUGGGGGAUAACUACGCGAAAGCGUAGCUAAUACCGCAUAAGCCCUGAGGGGGAAAGCGGGGGAUUCUUCGGAACCUCGUGCGAUUGGAGCGGCCGAUGUCGGAUUAGCUAGUAGGUGAGGUAAAGGCUCACCUAGGCGACGAUCCGUAGCGGGUCUGAGAGGAUGAUCCGCCACACUGGGACUGAGACACGGCCCAGACUCCUACGGGAGGCAGCAGUGGGGAAUUUUGGACAAUGGGCGCAAGCCUGAUCCAGCCAUGCCGCGUGAGUGAAGAAGGCCUUCGGGUUGUAAAGCUCUUUCGGCCGGGAAGAAAUCGCAUUCUCUAAUAUAGGAUGUGGAUGACGGUAC